RNAcentral lists this ribosomal RNA (1483 nucleotides) under metagenome. Its description in RNAcentral is "bacterial LSU rRNA". It matches the Rfam family "Bacterial large subunit ribosomal RNA", at positions 1466 to 2925 of the family's 2925-position model. The record is from RNAcentral.
UGAGGGACGGAGAAGGCUAGGCCAGCUUGGCGUUGGUUGUCCAAGUUUAAGGUGGUAGGCUGGAAUCUUAGGUAAAUCCGGGAUUCUAAGGCCGAGAGCUGAUGACGAGUGUUCUUUUAGAACACGAAGUGGUUGAUGCCAUGCUUCCAAGAAAAGCUUCUAAGCUUCAGGUAACCAGGAACCGUACCCCAAACCGACACAGGUGGUUGGGUAGAGAAUACCAAGGCGCUUGAGAGAACUCGGGUGAAGGAACUAGGCAAAAUGGCACCGUAACUUCGGGAGAAGGUGCGCCGGUGAGGGUGAAGCAUUUACUGCGUAAGCCCAUGCCGGUCGAAGAUACCAGGCCGCUGCGACUGUUUAUUAAAAACACAGCACUCUGCAAACACGAAAGUGGACGUAUAGGGUGUGACGCCUGCCCGGUGCCGGAAGGUUAAUUGAUGGGGUUAGCUAACGCGAAGCUCUUGAUCGAAGCCCCGGUAAACGGCGGCCGUAACAAUAACGGUCCUAAGGUAGCGAAAUUCCUUGUCGGGUAAGUUCCGACCUGCACGAAUGGCGUAACGAUGGCGGCGCUGUCUCCACCCGAGACUCAGUGAAAUUGAAAUCGCUGUGAAGAUGCAGUGUAUCCGCGGCUAGACGGAAAGACCCCGUGAACCUUUACUAUAGCUUUGCACUGGACUUUGAAUUUGCUUGUGUAGGAUAGGUGGGAGGCUUUGAAGCGUGGACGCCAGUUCGCGUGGAGCCAACCUUGAAAUACCACCCUGGCAACUUUGAGGUUCUAACUCAGGUCCGUUAUCCGGAUCGAGGACAGUGUAUGGUGGGUAGUUUGACUGGGGCGGUCUCCUCCUAAAGAGUAACGGAGGAGUACGAAGGUGCGCUCAGACCGGUCGGAAAUCGGUCGUAGAGUAUAAAGGCAAAAGCGCGCUUGACUGCGAGACAGACACGUCGAGCAGGUACGAAAGUAGGUCUUAGUGAUCCGGUGGUUCUGUAUGGAAGGGCCAUCGCUCAACGGAUAAAAGGUACUCCGGGGAUAACAGGCUGAUACCGCCCAAGAGUUCAUAUCGACGGCGGUGUUUGGCACCUCGAUGUCGGCUCAUCACAUCCUGGGGCUGAAGCCGGUCCCAAGGGUAUGGCUGUUCGCCAUUUAAAGUGGUACGCGAGCUGGGUUUAGAACGUCGUGAGACAGUUCGGUCCCUAUCUGCCGUGGACGUUUGAGAUUUGAGAGGGGCUGCUCCUAGUACGAGAGGACCGGAGUGGACGAACCUCUGGUGUUCCGGUUGUCACGCCAGUGGCAUUGCCGGGUAGCUAUGUUCGGAAUAGAUAACCGCUGAAAGCAUCUAAGCGGGAAACUAGCCUCAAGAUGAGAUCUCACUGGGACCUUGAGUCCCCUGAAGGGCCGUCGAAGACUACGACGUUGAUAGGUUGGGUGUGUAAGCGCUGUGAGGCGUUGAGCUAACCAAUACUAAUUGCCCGUGAGGCUUGACCG